Small nucleolar RNA from Cololabis saira (Pacific saury), 131 nucleotides. RefSeq annotates it as small nucleolar RNA ACA64. NCBI's taxonomy places the organism in Eukaryota, Metazoa, Chordata, Actinopteri, Beloniformes, Belonidae. The record is from RefSeq and is a predicted model, not a curated record. The transcript has a single exon.
UCAGACUGAAAAUGGCCUCAGGCGUGUUGGUGGUCUGAGGCCAGACAACUGAGCCCACAUAAACUCGGUACGUUAAGCUUAUCACCUGCUCGACCCGUCGGCACGGCGAUAAAACCCACGUACCAACAAAU